GCCCUUAUAGCUCAGUGGUAGAGCGCAUCACUCGUAUUCUUGACGCACAUGAUGAGGUCCGUUGUUCAAUCCAGCGUGGGGGCA
Molecule: transfer RNA, 84 nt
Filed under: Ceratobasidium sp. 428
Lineage: Eukaryota; Fungi; Basidiomycota; Agaricomycetes; Cantharellales; Ceratobasidiaceae
Description: tRNA-Thr
Rfam family: tRNA
About the family: Transfer RNA (tRNA) molecules are approximately 80 nucleotides in length. Their secondary structure includes four short double-helical elements and three loops (D, anti-codon, and T loops).
Source: RNAcentral